GAAGGAUUAGUUAAAACAUAAUUUAUGCUUGUCAAGCUUACGUUACUACAUAUAAGUAGUAUCCUUCA
RNAcentral lists this transfer RNA (68 nucleotides) under Umbonium thomasi. RNAcentral describes it as "tRNA-Asp". Lineage: Eukaryota; Metazoa; Mollusca; Gastropoda; Trochida; Trochidae. The record is from RNAcentral.